RNAcentral lists this unclassified non-coding RNA (203 nucleotides) under Hevea brasiliensis (rubber tree). The record is from RNAcentral. Lineage: Eukaryota; Viridiplantae; Streptophyta; Magnoliopsida; Malpighiales; Euphorbiaceae.
GAGUUGGGUGGAGGGUUGCCUUCUACAAUUUGGCUCGUAGAGUUCCUCUUUUUUAUCGUCUCUAUGUGUGGUCCUACUUCCCUGUAUGGCUGACAAAAGGGCGAUGAUGGUUUGUUGAGAGUAAAGGAAUCAGGAUGCAAGUGUCAAAGAUAAUUAAAAGUCUCAUUUUGCCAAAUGGAUUUAUUUCGACAGUUAGAUAGCGU